RNAcentral lists this ribosomal RNA (333 nucleotides) under uncultured bacterium. RNAcentral describes it as "bacterial SSU rRNA". It matches the Rfam family "Bacterial small subunit ribosomal RNA", at positions 1065 to 1394 of the family's 1533-position model. The record is from RNAcentral.
UCGUGAAAUGUUGGGUUAAGUUCCGCACAAGCGCAACCCCUUGUAACCUGUUGCCACUCCCUUUAUUUGGAAGCACUCUGUUCAGACUGCCCUGUGAAACGGGGAGAAAGUUGGGACGACGUCAAGUCAGUAUGGCCCUUCCGGCCAGGGCUGCACACGUACUCCAAUGCCCAGUACAGAACGAUCCGAGACAAACAAGGUGGAGGAAAUCUAUCAAAACUGGGCCCAGUUCGGAUUGGAGUCUGCAACUCGACUCCAUGAAGCCGGAAUCGCUAGUAAUGCCGUAUCAGCUACGACGGCGUGAAUACGUUCCCGGGCCUUGUACACACCGCC